GGUGAUCCGCCCGGCAGUCGAGGCUGGGCACGCUCAGAGGGAGUGCAGUCCCUCCCCUUUCCUCCUCUUCCACCCCCUUGCUACAGCGCUAGCUGCAGAGCUGGACCUCUACAAAACUGUGAAGCGGAAGAAAUUUGGGUCCGCCUAUCUGCUUUUACUGCACUGCGUCCCCCCUCAUCUCCUUUCUGAUCUCUCUUUCUGUUUUUUGUCUCUCUUUGUUUCCCCCCUCAACACAAACGCGGGAGCACACGUACACGCUGUGCGAAAGAUGCCAGCCAUAAUCUCUUAAGACUGAAAGGUUAUCCAACCUCAUCCUCCCACUGCUGCUUGAACAAUGUGCUUAACGCGCAGUGCCGCAAUCAUUGCUUAGGUGUUUGCCUGCCUUUUCUCCAGGAGCCCCGCAGUUCCCUCAGGGCUCUACCCCAGGCAAAUCGGCUGACCUUGAAAACUCCAGGCUUUAAGCCCUGCUGGUUGCAAGAACUCAUGAAAUUCAGCUGAUUUCCAACAUGUGCCUGUUACUGAACUGGGCCCUUGGGCUCUCCAAGCAACAGAAAUUGACAAGAGGCCUAACGGGAGUUCCAGGCAAAACGACUGGGGCUUAUGCUUGAGCACAAGGGAGACAGCACAAAGGAAAGCAUUCUCGGGCUGUCUGUCUGAGGAGAGGUAGGGAGAGUUUUAAACAGGCUUAGGUGGGGAAAAGGGUGACGUUUAAGCAUGUAGAGGCAGGUGUCAUCACACACUGAAAUAAAGUUCUCAGACGCCAAUCUGAGCAGCUGUGCAGGGCUGCCUCUGGAAAGCAGCAGCAGCUGAAUCCUGCACAUAGCUUUUGUUUUGUUUUUUAUCAGAAAAGCAAGGACAGAUGCCUCCAAGCAUGGGAAAGGAGUACAAAGGGAUGGCAAAUGUCUUGAAACAGCUUGCAUUUUCCUCUAUGCAUAGGUACCUAGAGAGUCAGUCAUGGGAUGAGGGAAGAGUGGGAUGUUUGGGCUGGCAAUCACCAGGUAAAGAGGGGAGACUGAGGGUUACAUUUUUUCAUAGCUCCUAAGUGAUGCCCUGCCCCUGGGGAUUGUGGAAUCCUGCUCCUACCAGGCCACUGAGUUCAACAGCCCAAGAACAGGAACACUGCUAAUGUUUUGGCUGCUUCCACACUCACUCCUUGGGGCUUAUAAUGUAUUUUCUAAGAAUAACUCUACAGGCAGGGACUUACCAGAUCUUGCACACUUAAAGAUCAUGUUUUAUUAUACAUUGAAUGUCUAAUUAGCAUGUUAAAUCUCUACCCCUGGGCAUGAUUUUUAGCACUAUAAUCAGGGAAAAAGUCGAUGAAAGGUCAGUGCUGGGGUCCACUGUUGCUCGGGCUGGUCUGGUCUAGUUUUUGCAGGAGCAGAACUGGUUGUAAGCUGGGCCAUGGGGCUUGUUUGGAGCUUGUGGCUUCUGGCUUCCUGAUGUCGAGCAACACCUGCAAGCUGGGCUAGAGAACUGGGUUGUUGUGAUUUUUUUUCCUGUGAAUUUCUGGGUUAGGGAUCUUGAACACCAUCCCUGCUUUGUCUCAUGCCCUUAAAGCUAAUGUAAAUCUCUUGGAGGCAGCAUCUUAUUAGAACUUUUUAAAAGGCAUUUAGGGGUGCCUGGGUGGCUCAGUCGUUGGGCGUCUGCCUUCGGCUC
This is a long non-coding RNA of Ailuropoda melanoleuca (giant panda), 1656 nucleotides long. RefSeq lists it as uncharacterized. NCBI's taxonomy places the organism in Eukaryota, Metazoa, Chordata, Mammalia, Carnivora, Ursidae. The transcript has 3 exons. The record is from RefSeq and is a predicted model, not a curated record.